RNAcentral lists this transfer RNA (70 nucleotides) under Epinephelus aeneus (white grouper). Its description in RNAcentral is "tRNA-Pro". It matches the Rfam family "tRNA". From Rfam's summary of the family: Transfer RNA (tRNA) molecules are approximately 80 nucleotides in length. Their secondary structure includes four short double-helical elements and three loops (D, anti-codon, and T loops). Further hydrogen bonds mediate the characteristic L-shaped molecular structure. tRNAs have two regions of fundamental functional importance: the anti-codon, which is responsible for specific mRNA codon recognition, and the 3' end, to which the tRNAs corresponding amino acid is attached (by aminoacyl-tRNA synthetases). tRNAs cope with the degeneracy of the genetic code in two manners: having more than one tRNA (with a specific anti-codon) for a particular amino acid; and 'wobble' base-pairing, i.e. permitting non-standard base-pairing at the 3rd anti-codon position. Lineage: Eukaryota; Metazoa; Chordata; Actinopteri; Perciformes; Serranidae. The record is from RNAcentral.
CAAAGAGUAGUUUAGUUUAGAAUUUUAGCUUUGGGAGCUAAUGGUAAGAGUUAAAAUCUCUUCUCUUUGA